AGCAGCCGCGGUAAUUCCAGCUCCAAUAGCGUAUAUUAAAGUUGUUGCAGUUAAAAAGCUCGUAGUUGAAUUUCGGGAUUUAUCCGUCGGUCGGGCUUUCGGGUCUGUACUGGCGUGAUGGAUUCCUACCUUCUGAAUAACCGGCAUGUCAUUAAUUUGGUGCGCUGGGGAAGCAGGACUGUUACCUUGAAAAAUUAGAGUGCUUAAAGCAGGCUUAUGCCUGAAUACAUUAGCAUGGAAUAAUGAAAUAGGACGGCAUGGUUCUAUUUUGUUGGUUUCUAGGAUCACCGUAAUGAUUAAUAGGGAUAGUUGGGGGCAUUAGUAUUCAAUUGUCAGAGGUGAAAUUCUUGGAUUUAUUGAAGACUAACUUCUGCGAAAGCAUUUGCCAAGGAUGUUUUCAUUAAUCAAGAACGAAAGUUAGGGGAUCGAAGACGAUCAGAUACCGUCGUA
This 450-nucleotide ribosomal RNA is filed under the name uncultured Acaulospora. RNAcentral's name for it is "SSU rRNA". It matches the Rfam family "Eukaryotic small subunit ribosomal RNA", at positions 569 to 1022 of the family's 1831-position model. Lineage: Eukaryota; Fungi; Glomeromycota; Glomeromycetes; Diversisporales; Acaulosporaceae. The record is from RNAcentral.